AACACAUGCAAGUCGAACGGCAGCACGGACUUCGGUCUGGUGGCGAGUGGCGAACGGGUGAGUAAUGUAUCGGAACGUGCCCAGUAGCGGGGGAUAACUACGCGAAAGCGUAGCUAAUACCGCAUACGCCCUACGGGGGAAAGCAGGGGAUCGCAAGACCUUGCACUAUUGGAGCGGCCGAUAUCGGAUUAGCUAGUUGGUGGGGUAACGGCUCACCAAGGCGACGAUCCGUAGCUGGUUUGAGAGGACGACCAGCCACACUGGGACUGAGACACGGCCCAGACUCCUACGGGAGGCAGCAGUGGGGAAUAUUGCACAAUGGGCGCAAGCCUGAUGCAGCGACGCCGCGUGGGGGAUGACGGCCUUCGGGUUGUAAACUCCUUUCGCUAGGGACGAAGCUUUUUGUGACGGUACCUAGAUAAGAAGCACCGGCUAACCACGUGCCAGCCGCCGCGGUAAUAC
This 462-nucleotide ribosomal RNA is filed under the name uncultured bacterium. Its description in RNAcentral is "bacterial SSU rRNA". It matches the Rfam family "Bacterial small subunit ribosomal RNA", at positions 50 to 526 of the family's 1533-position model. The record is from RNAcentral. RNAcentral also lists the same sequence under 1 other name.